This 236-nucleotide ribosomal RNA is filed under the name uncultured bacterium. Its description in RNAcentral is "partial 16S ribosomal RNA". It matches the Rfam family "Bacterial small subunit ribosomal RNA", at positions 251 to 504 of the family's 1533-position model. The record is from RNAcentral.
GGUGAGGUAACGGCUCACCAAGUCGACGAUCGGUAGCCGGACUGAGAGGUUGAACGGCCACAUUGGGACUGAGACACGGUCCAAACUCCUACGGGAGGCAGCAGUGGGGAAUAUUGCACAAUGGGCGAAAGCCUGAUGCAGCAACGCCGCGUGAACGAUGAAGGUCUUCGGAUCGUAAAGCUCUGUCGCAGGGGAAGAUAAUGACGGUACCCUGUGAGGAAGCACCGGCUAACUAC